UACGUAGGGACCAAGCGUUGUUCGGAUUUACUGGGCGUAAAGGGCGCGUAGGCGGCGUGACAAGUCACUUGUGAAAUCUCCGGGCUUAACCCGGAACGGCCAAGUGAUACUGUCGUGCUAGAGUGCAGAAGGGGCAAUCAGAAUUCUUGGUGUAGCGGUGAAAUGCGUAGAUAUCAAGAGGAACACCUGAGGUGAAGACGGGUUGCUGGGCUGACACUGACGCUGACAGCGCGAAAGCUAGGGGAGCAAACGGG
This 254-nucleotide ribosomal RNA is filed under the name uncultured bacterium. Its description in RNAcentral is "partial 16S ribosomal RNA". It matches the Rfam family "Bacterial small subunit ribosomal RNA", at positions 524 to 776 of the family's 1533-position model. The record is from RNAcentral.